UGCCAGACUCCUACGGGAGGCAGCAGUGGGGAAUAUUGCACAAUGGGGGAAACCCUGAUGCAGCAACGCCGCGUGAGUGAAGAAGUAUUUCGGUAUGUAAAGCUCUAUCAGCAGGGAAGAAGAUGACGGUACCUGAUUAAGAAGCCCCGGCUAACUACGUGCCAGCAGCCGCGGUAAUACGUAGGGGGCAAGCGUUAUCCGGAUUUACUGGGUGUAAAGGGAGCGUAGACGGCAGUGUAAGUCUGGAGUGAAAGGCGGGGGCUCAACCCCCGGACUGCUCUGGAAACUGUACGGCUGGAGUGCGGGAGGGGCAGGCGGAAUUCCUGGUGUAGCGGUGAAAUGCGUAGAUAUCAGGAGGAACACCGGCGGCGAAGGCGGCCUGCUGGACCGUAACUGACGUUGAGGCUCGAAAGCGUGGGGAGCAAACAGGAUUAGAUCCCCCGGUA
This 446-nucleotide ribosomal RNA is filed under the name uncultured bacterium. RNAcentral describes it as "bacterial SSU rRNA". It matches the Rfam family "Bacterial small subunit ribosomal RNA", at positions 329 to 792 of the family's 1533-position model. The record is from RNAcentral.